UACGAAGGGGGCUAGCGUUGCUCGGAAUCACUGGGCGUAAAGGGUGCGUAGGCGGGUCUUUAAGUCAGGGGUGAAAUCCUGGAGCUCAACUCCAGAACUGCCUUUGAUACUGAAGAUCUUGAGUUCGGGAGAGGUGAGUGGAACUGCGAGUGUAGAGGUGAAAUUCGUAGAUAUUCGCAAGAGCACCAGUGGCGAAGGCGGCUCACUGGCCCGAUACUGACGCUGAUGCACGAAAGCGUGGGGAGCGAACAGG
This 253-nucleotide ribosomal RNA is filed under the name uncultured bacterium. RNAcentral describes it as "partial 16S ribosomal RNA". It matches the Rfam family "Bacterial small subunit ribosomal RNA", at positions 524 to 776 of the family's 1533-position model. The record is from RNAcentral.